GGGUGGAAAGCGAGAGAAAGCGCGCUGCUUGCGGCCCCGCUGCCCAGAGCCUGCCAGCAGCGCGCCCUCGGCGGCUCCGGUCCCAACCGCGCCCGCCGCCUCGCUUCCUCCGCCUCGGCCCCGUCCCGACUCCAGGGCUCGCCCGGCCUCUCGGAGGUCCCCACUCGCCCCGGCUCCCCACUGCGCCGCCCGGCUCCAGCCCCGCAGCUCGCUCGCUCGACCGCCCGGGGGAAGGUAGCAAGCAAGCGGGCGAGCGCGCCCUCGCCUCAGCCCCGCGCCCCAGCCCCGCGCGGCGACGAAGGACCGGGAAGAUGAACGGCGGAGGCAAAGCCGAGAAGGAGAACACCCCGAGCGAGGCCAACCUUCAGGAGGAGGAGGUCCGGACCCUGUUUGUCAGUGGUCUGCCCUUGGACAUCAAACCCCGGGAGCUCUACCUGCUCUUCAGACCAUUCAAGGGCUAUGAGGGUUCUCUUAUAAAACUCACAUCUAAACAGCCUGUAGGUUUUGUCAGUUUCGACAGUCGCUCAGAAGCAGAGGCUGCAAAGAACGCUUUGAACGGCAUCCGCUUCGAUCCUGAAAUCCCGCAAACACUACGACUAGAGUUUGCUAAGGCAAACACGAAGAUGGCCAAGAACAAACUCGUAGGGACUCCGAACCCCAGUACUCCAUUGCCCAACACUGUACCUCAGUUCAUUGCCAGAGAGCCAUAUGAGCUCACAGUGCCUGCACUUUACCCCAGUAGCCCUGAAGUGUGGGCCCCGUACCCUCUGUACCCAGCGGAGUUAGCGCCUGCUCUGCCUCCUCCUGCUGCUUUCACCUAUCCCGCCUCACUGCAUGCCCAGAUGCGCUGGCUCCCUCCCUCCGAGGCUACUUCUCAGGGUUGGAAGUCCCGACAGUUCUGCUGAAGGCUGUGUCUCGGGUGUGUGAUGGCGGCUGCAAUCUGUCUUGUGGGUAUUAAUGCGAUCUUCACUGGUGGCGACUGUCAUCCAGCUGUUCUGCAGAACUGGAGCUUUGCUGGUUUGAAAACGCCUUGCCCAGUUUUGAUCCCUUCAAGACUUUGCCACAGCCUCUAUCACACAUCUGUUUUCCUCAAAGAAAAAAAAAUAUAUAAUAAAAUGUGUUUUACUCUUUUACACUGUA
This is an RNA transcript of Microtus oregoni (creeping vole), 1140 nucleotides long. It is a transcript of the gene named RNA binding protein, mRNA processing factor, with no coding region annotated. The record is from RefSeq and is a predicted model, not a curated record. The transcript is spliced from 9 exons. Lineage: Eukaryota; Metazoa; Chordata; Mammalia; Rodentia; Cricetidae.